RNAcentral lists this microRNA precursor (230 nucleotides) under Oryza sativa (Asian cultivated rice). RNAcentral's name for it is "partial microRNA MIR433a-36 precursor". The stretch from base 14 to 216 matches the Rfam family "MIR812 microRNA precursor family". Lineage: Eukaryota; Viridiplantae; Streptophyta; Magnoliopsida; Poales; Poaceae. The record is from RNAcentral.
CCCUCUGUCACAAAAGAAGUGUAGCUAUGGUUUUCCGCGCCCAACUUUGACCAUUCGUCUUAUUUAAAUUUUUUUGAAAAAAAUUAAAAACAUAAGUCACGAGUAAAGUACUAUUCAUAUUUUAUCAUCUCAUAACAACAAAAAUGCUAAUUAUAAAAAAUUUCAAAUAAGAUGGACGAUCAAAGUUGAGCGCGUAAACUCAUGGCUGCACUUAUUUUGGGACGGAGGUA